UAUUAAGGAAGAACCUUACAUAAGCUUGACAUCAUCCUGACCUUUCCUUAAUUGGAGAUUUCCCUUUUGGGGACAAAGGUGACAGGUGGUGCAUGGUUGUCGUCAGCUCGUGUUGUGAGAUGUUGGGUUAAGUCCCGCAACGAGCGCAACCCUUGCCUUUAGUUGCCAGCAUUAAGUUGGGCACUUUAGAGGGACUGCCGAGGAUAAACCGGGAGGGAGGGUGGGGGAGACGUCAAAUCAUCAUGCCCCUUAUGGUUUAGGGUACCACACGGGUUCAAAUGGUGGUACCAGAGGGAGGCAAGCGGGAGGGGGAGCUAAUCCCUUAAAGCCAUUCUCAGUUCGGAUUGUAGGCUGAAACUCGCCUACAUGAAGCUGGAGUUACCUAGUAAUCGCGGAUCCCAGA
This 403-nucleotide ribosomal RNA is filed under the name uncultured bacterium. RNAcentral describes it as "bacterial SSU rRNA". It matches the Rfam family "Bacterial small subunit ribosomal RNA", at positions 956 to 1354 of the family's 1533-position model. The record is from RNAcentral.